UAAGCAGCGCAUCGUCUUCUUAUCGGGUUGGCAAAAGGCUACUCAUCGUCUUCUUCAUCGGGCAAAGAAGCGAGCGAGAGAGAGAGAGAGAUGAGCGCAGAACUAAUCCAAGACCUCCUCGCCUCAGUUCUCGAUGAUGCAGCUAUCUGAUACCUCUUGAGGAUGAUUUUCUUUUGGAUUUGGCGGAGUAUUUGUUGACCGGAAGGCGAAUCUGCCACGCCAAGAAGGUAGGCGCAGAACUAAUCCAAGACCUCCUCGCCUCAGUUCUCGAUGAUGCAACUAUCUGAUACCUUUUGAGGAGGAUUUGCUUUUGGAUUUGGCAGAGUAUUUGUUGACUGGGAGGGGGAUCUGCCGCGCCAAGAAGGGUUUCUAUCGGAUCAACAGACAAGCUGCGAGAUGGAGAAGAAGAUGGUUUCUAUUGGUCCCACGGACAAGUGGCGAGAUGGAGAUUAAGAUGUGAUUAUCACAAGUGGGCAGUUUCAUAAUUUAUUGGCUGAAUUCUGAACUUUGUGUACUUGAAGAAGAUUUUUGCUUGCGGUUUAGAAAGCUGAUCUUCUCCCAACAAAAUGGAAAGGCAACAGGAUUGUUUCAGAAUUCAUUUGCUGAAUUAUGAACUUUGUGUACUUGAUGAAGAUCUUUUCUUUGCUUGCUAUUUAGAAAGCUAAUCUUCUCCCAACAAAAUGGAAAGACAAUAGAAUUGAAAGUUUUGAUUUACACCAGAUUCUUUUGUGCAAUCCUGAUGACAUUUACUCAAAGGAAAUAGCAGACAAGGAGCCACAAUAUCAACAAUUUGAAUUCCUCUGGAUGGGAUAUUUUGAGAACUUUAUCAGGUGCAGCUGCAUAUUGUAUGUCUACUCCACGAUUUGCAAAAAUUUGGUGGGAUAAAGGAUGUGACUUGAGAAGAUCAAUUUUGAUAUGGCGACCGGUAGGAUGCCCAGCUUUUGGCACACUUGGUGAUUGUGUGAUACAAGGGUUAGACAUUGGCUCUUCUUAUGUUUUAUAAAUGAUACAAAAUUUGUGAUAUAAUAAUUCACAAUUUACUUGUUUCUGUUUAGAACCACCAGCUUUAGAUUGAUAACAUAAUUUGUGUUUAUCAUAACUCACGAGUUACUCAUUUGUCUCAAUGUGACAAUCCAUCAAUUUCUGCAAGUCCUGUAUAAUUCGCUAAAGUUGCACAUAUUUCUGGAAAAGGAUUUGAUCAGGGUUUUUUUCUGGUAUCCAAUUCCUCCUGGCUAUGUUUCAUUUGAUUGAGUGGUGACAACAACUGAUUAUUCACCAAAAAGGGAUUCAUAACUCACGAGUUACUCAUUUGUCUCAAUGUGACAAUCCAUCAAUUUCUGCAAGUCCUAUAUAAUUCGCUAAAGUUGCACAUAUUUCUAGAAAAGGAUUUGAUCAGACUUUUUUUCUGGUAUCCAAUUCCUCCUGGCUAAGUUUCAUUUGAUUGAGUGGUGACAACAACUGAUUAUCCACCAAAAAAGGAUUUUGUCUGCUGUCCUAGAUCAGAUCUGUUAACCAAACAAAUGUUGCUAGUGAACCCAUUUCUAGGUCAUCUAGUUCAAAGGGCACAAAUUGGUAGAGUAUCUGGAAAGUUGAGAAUCAGGUAUCCCCCAAUUUUUUUGUUAUUCUCUUCUAUUUCACGUCCUGAUGUCUUCUUAUUCUUGACCUGUACUUUUCUUGCAUGUUUUGAUCACAUUAUACCAAUAACCCGAUUGGUGUACAAAUUUAGUGACUAUGCCAAAGCUAAAGCACAUGAAAAUGUUGCUGCUGAGUUGAAGUUGGAACUUCUCUCACUGAGUGUUUUGGACAAUUUUUGUGGAACCAUGAGUAGCCUUGUCUUGCUUACAUUGGUCUUAGAAAGAAGACACUUCAGUCUUCUUAUUUACUGUAUUAAUGCUUACUUUUGAUUUGGUUCAGAUGACGCCACUUCUUGACACAACAGUGACAAAUAUUACACAUGGGAAUUUUCAGGCAAUGAAUGUUGUUCUAAUAUGUUCAAUUGCUUCAUCCACAUUCAACAGACAACUAGAGGCAUGAGAGCCUCUAAUUGAACCAUUUGAUGCCAUAUUCAAGUAAUUAUUUGUAAUUUAUAUGUUUUGUAAGAUUUCAAUAAGGGUUUGAAAAAAAUGGGAGGGGGUUAUGUCAUUUACAGUUCCAUAUAUUCCUAUACUUCCUUAAAUCUAGUAUAUGUUGGACUUUACUAGUAUUUUCAUUAUUAGUUUUUUUACCCUUUAGAAUGGAAACAUAUUAUAAGCAAAAAUUCACAAUCCACAAUCAGCAUGCAAAUUCAUUUUUCUUCAAUGAGUGCCCUAAAUGUUAACAUUAGUGCUGCAAAUCUAGAAACUCUCAUUGAAACUAUUAUUUUCUGGUAUGCAAAAUGAUGUGGAGAACAAAUUGUUGAGAAAAAGCAAGGUAAUGUAUGAUGUCAAUUCACAUGUUACCCCAUUGAGAUUUGUUGUAUCUACAGUUGAACUAAUUAUAUGUUUUUAUUCUUUUAGGAAGCUGGUGAAAAUUAUAGUAAUUCAGAUAAUUUAAUAUCCUCUGUAUAGUUGAUGAUGUUCAGGAACAAGCUCGGAUGUGAUAUGCAUUUGAGAGAAUUUGAACAAAAUUAAGAGACAACCAAGUUUUUACAGCACAAUGGGCAUGUUUCACUGUUCUUUCCUACUCCAAGAUUUUUGGAUAAGCUAAAUGUCGUGGCCAAUCAAGCUACUAUGUUGCUAUAUAGAUUCUUGAGUCGGAGGUCAUACAACUGUAUUUAUUCUUAUAAUCAUACUCUAAAUCAAUAGUUUUGGAUAUAAUUCUAUUUCAUACAUUUGCAAAGGCUAACUAUAGUGGAUGAUGGUAAUAACCAUGACUAUUUUUGUCCUUUAUGGUUGCUUAUUGAUGGUAAGGUAUUUGAUCAAUACAAACUUUUCCCACAAGUGCAAGGACAAGAUGCAUGAGUCCAUUGCUAUCAAAGAACACUAAGAGCCACGCUAGGCGGAACAAACUCUUCAUAUUUGAAGUUCCUGAGAAGAUCUAGUUAAAGUUGGAGAAGAGAGAAGAACUACAAAUUGGCUUAGGUCUACUGUAUGUGUAAGUGAACUAUAAUGUGAACCCAAUACUCCAAUUCAGCAUCAAAACCAGCACCCAAGACCAGGAAUUCAAAUCUGUUCUGCAUUUCACAAGUUCAGUUUCAGAAAUUGAUUUCAGGAAUCUGAUUUCAGAAUUCAGGUUCCUCUGUAUGAUAUGUUCUCAAUCACAAAGUCAUGGGAAGAAGAAAAGCCACUAAUUUGCUAUAGUUCAGCUUCAAGAAAUCAAAUUCUGAUUCAAUUCUCAAAGGACGUCUACAUUUCCAACAAUCCAGAAUUUUAAUUUCAGAGUUUCAGAAUUGAGAUUUCAAAGUAAAUUCAGCUUAAUUCCUGAAGGAUUCAGCUUUGAAGUGAGUAUCUUUUAGCACUAGAAUGAUUAAAACUUAAAUUUAAAACUGUACCAAUCAAGAAUAGCAUAGCGACUUGGCACAAAAUCAGAUUCUCACUGUUUCCUGCUGAUUCAGUUUCUGAAUCAAAUGGCAGGAUCUCACUUGCAGCAUGUCGCAAGUUGUUGCAAGCUUACUUCCUGCACAGGUAUGGAAAGACACUAUGAUUCAUUCAGCUCUCCUGCAGCUCUAGUUUACCUCCUUCCUUAAAAUAGCUUGUAGGUUGUGUCCUUGUUGUCAAAUGCAGGAAAUUUCUAAAGAAUGCUGCAAUCUGCUAGAUUGCAGCAUUGUAAAUGCAGGAUUCCAAUCAUGGAGGGGUUUAGAAGACAGUAACCCCAAACCACAGAGUAAAGGUUGUCCUUGGAAUAUAAUUCCAAUAGGGUUUGCACGAAACAAUUCACAUUUAGUUAUUAGUUCACACUCUUCAGCAGAAACAUAUGUGAACUCCUUGGAUUAAGUUUCAGCAUUUAAGAGUUGAGGUAAUUUCAGCUUGAGUUAUGAAGGGCUCAACUCGUCAAUGACUCUCAUUUAGCAUUGAGAUAAUAGGAGGUUGAAUUCCAAUAGCUGCUCAGAAUCAACACAUAGAAUUAACACUCAACAUGUUUUAGAUGCCAAGUUACAGAUCCUUUCAAUUCCUGUUAAUUUAUGUUCAUAACUUCUUUUUUUCUGACUAACUUCAGCUUCCACAAUGGCUUAAAUGAUAACAUUUACACUCCCAUAAUCUUCUAAAUUUAAUGUUUAUCUCAAAUAAUUCAACUUCCUAUAAACCCCACUAUAGAUUCAGCAAGUGUUGCAAAAUAGAGACCUAUCAGUCCUCAAUUGCAGUAGGCAGAAUAUCAAAACAUCCAAGUCUGUGUAGCAUCAAAGGAAGAAGACCAUCUAAAACAUACAUAUCUAAUAGGCUGGGUACCCGAAGACAAUGGUGGUUCAUUGCAAAUUGAUGAGGAGAAUAAUAGGAUGCUCAAUUUCUGCACUGUAAUUCGAAAUACAGUUUUAGAAAUCAGCUACAACUUCUGCUUCAAAUCCAGCUGCUCUUUUUCCCCUUUUUCUUAUUUACUUCCUUGGUUGUAACUUUUUUUUUUCAACUCAUGCUAACUUACUGAUUCUUUUUCUGGAAUGAAGCUGGAUAGUUUCGGAAAUUCAAUCCAUUGAAGUUGUAUGCUUCGAACCAUGGAAAUCUUGGAAAGAAAAAAACAACAAAUGACAAUGAGAGGUGGUCACAGGUUUAAUUGAAAGGUUUCUGAUUAGAGAAUUGCAUAAAUGAAUUGGCACACAAACAAAAUCAGGACAAUUCUGAAUUCAGGAAGUCAAGAAUUUAAUUCCAAAAACUUGGACUGCAGGCUUGAAUCAUGAAAAAUCUUGCAAAGGAGGGAAUGCCACUUGGAAAUAAGAUAGCACAAGCUUUGAUUUAAGUCAUCACUGCAACAGAAUUUCAGAAUUUAUUGGCUGAAUUCUGAUCUUUGCUUGCUGUUUAGAAAGCUCAUCUUCUCCCAACAAAACGGAAAGACAAUAGGAUUGGUACAACCAUCCAGUAGCUGAACAGAUAUCAAACACCAACUUUAGCACUUCCGAUUCCCAAAAUUCAGCUUCAAGGACUCAGUUCAACAGAAAUCAGAAUGCUACUUGUAAAAGCAUUUCAGUUACCACUCCCUUCUUGAAUUGCUUGAAGAUGUCUUCUCGUUGCUCAUAUGCAGGAGUUACUGAAGUUAAACCAACUGCUGUAUUUCAGUUUCAGUAAUCAGCCCAUAAAAUGCUCACAAAUCAGAGAAUCCAAGGGAUUGCAGUUACGUCAAAAUUCAGAUUAAAGGAUUUUAGAAAUCAGAAAUCUUAGUUUCUGUAAUUUCAGAAUUUGGAUUCAGAUUCAGUUAUACUUAAAUUCUGUAGUAACCAUUUUCUCCAAGGCUUUUGAGUCAGUAAGGGGUGGCUUCAUGGAAUAAAUGGAACAUCAAAUGACUAAUGAAAGAGCAAAGAGUUGCACUCGGAAUAUCCACGGAUCAGAUGCUGCAAGGCAAACUUGGCACACGGCAAUACUUCAAGUUUUUUUUUCCUAUAAUGCAAUUCUGUUUUUCCCUCAAUUUCGGGUCAUUGCUACAUUUACAUCAGAUUAAAACAUCCUUUUUCAUAUUGAGAUAAGCCUUCCACUACAUUGUAAACAUCCUUCCAAUUUGGUACACAUAUGACUCAAGAAUCCUUGUUUCAGCUCAGAAAUUCAAAACUUCAGAUAAGGCAAUCAGAUUCAAAGGAAAUUCAGGUUUAGAAUCAUUAAAGACUUGUAAAGGAUAGAAUACCAAUUGACAAUAAGGGAAUAAGAGUUUCACUUUAACUUUUCACUGAUCACAAACUUGCAGCAAAAGCUUGGCACACAAAUCACAACAUACAGAAUUUUCAGAAACUCCAGUUUCACCACAGACAGUAACAAUAGAGCAAGCAAAUGCAAUCCUUGAUCUCAUGAGGCAUCCAUAUUGUUUGAAAAUGCUACUAGUAUGAUUAGGUAAUCAAGAGAAAAUAGAACCACCAAAGAAACAAGACAGAGAGCUGAUAACCAAGUAGAGCAGUGGGAUUAACUCACUGAUACUGAUUAGUUUUCCAAUACGGAAUCUAGGAAGGAAUGCUUUCGUACUGUCCAAUCCAUUCCUUCCCUAUGCUGAUCACCAGAUUCUGGAAAAUUCAGAAUCACUGUAUUUUCCAAAAAAAACAAAGCAAUCAUCUGCUGAGCUUGUCCUCCCAUGUAUGAAACUACAAUCUUCAACUUUCUGAAUUCAGCAAUUCCAGCAUUGUCAAUUCCAAAAAACAUAAUUCUGUCUAGUUCCAUUUUGAGACUUAUGAGCCAAUGCAAGGUGACCUUCAUGGAACCAAUUGACAUUGUUUUCAACAAACCUUGUAACUAGAAUUCCUGGAACUGAUUUCAGCAGCAAGGUCCUGAAAAAAUUCCAACUGUUUUUACAUAAUUUCCAACUUCUUGUGCAGAUUUUUCCACAAGUUCUAUCAGAUUUAGUUACUGACUCCUACACCACUAAAACCUAAUUUUCUCACAUCUGUAGCAAGAACUUGACCACAACAUCAAAUUCAGUAACUCAACUUUACGAUUUCAGAAUUAGAGCUCCUUAAUUCUUUAGCUUAACAAGUUUCAAGGACAAGUUUUAAGGAAGUUGCAAGCAUAUUAAAAAAUAUGAUGGAUAGAUGUACACUGGUUUAAAAUGUUUUUAUUCCUUUGUUCCCUAGCAUAUAUUAUUAUACAUAAGUACUACAAGACUCUAGAUAAUGAAGCCUCGCAGAAUAGUUAUAUAACUGUGCUAACUUGCUAACUCUUGUUGUUGAUUCUUAUCUACCUUUUUAAUGUUUUUCUCCUAAUGUGCUUUUGAAGAUUAAAGUACCCCAUCCAAG
Long non-coding RNA from Zingiber officinale, 6838 nucleotides. RefSeq lists it as uncharacterized. Lineage: Eukaryota; Viridiplantae; Streptophyta; Magnoliopsida; Zingiberales; Zingiberaceae. The transcript has 8 exons. The record is from RefSeq and is a predicted model, not a curated record.